GCUAGUUGAACCAUGAAAUAGGUAAAGUCUACCUUAAAGGCAGAUGCUGACAGCAGCAGUGAUGUAGAUUUGGAAAAUCACUAAAAAUAGUAGGAAUGGAAUUAAAUAGUGAAUAAAUUAUGUAAACAAACCUUGAUGAAUCUACUUUCAUAGGAAAGUAACGAAACAAUCAUGCGGACAGUAUGUUAAGAGAUAUUCAGGUUCUCGUGAG
Molecule: long non-coding RNA, 211 nt
Filed under: Gossypium barbadense (sea-island cotton)
Lineage: Eukaryota; Viridiplantae; Streptophyta; Magnoliopsida; Malvales; Malvaceae
Description: long non-coding RNA (GBAR_LNC023547)
Source: RNAcentral